Molecule: long non-coding RNA, 483 nt
Organism: Mobula hypostoma (lesser devil ray)
Lineage: Eukaryota; Metazoa; Chordata; Chondrichthyes; Myliobatiformes; Myliobatidae
Exons: 3
Source: RefSeq, a predicted model, not a curated record
UUGAAAGCCAGUAGGAAUAAAAAUUAACAGGUUUGUGGAGAGACUGAUGCAGCCUGUUACACCACUAAGAGAAAAGAAGAUUAAGUGAUGAUCCAAUGCCAGUGUUCAAAGUGACGGAGAGGGUUUGAAGAAAUAACCUCAAAGAAAUAACUUUUAGUGCCAUGAAAGAAAAUAAGCAGCAGGCAUCGACUGAAAGUAAAUCUCAAUAAUUAUCAACUAAAGAUAUACCUAGAAAGUUGUGCUAACCGGCUUCCAAAGGAAUCUGCACCAAUUGAACAGUUCAGACACUCCACUAGCUGGACAUCCUCUUCAGACACAUUGCCAGAUGUCCAAGGAACAUGGCAUUUCAUUGCCUCCAGGUCAUUAUAGGACAAGAACAAUAAAGAGAAGAUAUUUUCCAACACCUCCAACCGGAAGGGAGCAGGAAUCACAUGCAGAAACUCCUGACAUCUGGAUAAAUACAACUUGAAAACUGCAGAACCA